GCCUCGGUAGUUCAACGGAUAGAACAUCGGUCUUCGGAACCGAUAGUGGGGGUUCGAUUCCCUCCCGAGGUA
Molecule: transfer RNA, 72 nt
Filed under: Leptospira sp.
Lineage: Bacteria; Pseudomonadati; Spirochaetota; Leptospiria; Leptospirales; Leptospiraceae
Also listed under: 1 other name
Description: tRNA-Arg
Rfam family: tRNA
About the family: Transfer RNA (tRNA) molecules are approximately 80 nucleotides in length. Their secondary structure includes four short double-helical elements and three loops (D, anti-codon, and T loops).
Source: RNAcentral